ACUUGGCAGCCCUCUCUAACCCUGUCUGCGGCUGCGAGCACACACCACACUAGGCACUAGCACACCUCCCCUCUCAGGCUCUCAGCGCCCCGCCGCCGCCACGCAAUUGCCAGUCCUCGCGAUAUGGGCGCGCAAGAGGAGGCAGUGGACGAGAUGCUGCGCGCCGCCGCCGCCGAGGUUUCAACCUCCUCGGUGAAGCGCCGCCUCCGCAUCUUCCACCACACCCUACCUCCUCUCAUCGCGAAGGCCAUAGAGUCACCGUCAGAUACUGUAUUGUUAGUCGAUCUCAUUUUCCAGACAUUGCCAAUAUAUGACGAUCGAGCAUCACGAAAAGCAGUAGACGAUUUGGUUAUUCAGGCUCUUGGUGAACCCACCUUCAUGAAGCCCUUUGCUGCGGUACUUGUACAAUCUAUGGAAAAGAAUCUAAAGGUUACAAACCCCCUUACAAGCUUAAAGCUUCUCAGAUGGUCACACUAUCUUCUGAAAUGGAGUCAGUUUGCCACACUUACAAAAGGCGCCUUUACCAGACUGGCCAAUGCACAAGCAGUCUUAUGUCAAGUCCUUAUGGAUGGGUCCUUCCGUCGGCGCCGGACUUGCAAACAGUUAUUCAUUCAUCUCUUCUCCGAGCACAGUGGAAUAUAUAAGAUGUACAUAGAGGAGCUCAGAGAUUUAAGGAUUUCCAUGAGAGAUUCUCCUGCAUUUUUGAAUCUAAUACUGGAUUUUACCAUUACCUCUCCAUCAUUAUCCACUCAGUACCAGUCAGUAUUCCUUGAUUUGUAUGUCAAAAUCAUCUUGAGUUCAAAAGAUCGGCCACCGAAAGCAGCCACUGAAGCUUUUAAGCCUCUUUUCUUGAACAUUGGGCAUGAGGAUUUUAAGAAUACUAUUAUACCAUCAUGCAUAAAGAUGCUGAAAAGAAAUCCUGAAAUCGUACUACAGUCUAUUGGAUAUCUUCUUAAGACAGUCCAUUUAGACCUAAGCAAGUAUUCCAUGGAGUUUAUGCCAGUUGUUCUGCAUCAAGCUCGGCAUUCAGAUGAAGAGAGGAGGAUUAAUGCUUUGAGUAUUAUAGGAACACUAAGUGAGAAGUCAAGUGAUCCAGAUGCUCUACCUUCCAUGGUCAAUGCUAUCAAAGCUGUUUUAGGAGGCUCAGAAGGAAAACUAUCACUUCUAUACCAGAGAAUUGGAAUGAUAAAUGCUUUAGAGCAGCUAUCAAGAUCUCCUCCAAAGCAAAUAGGCAGACUUGCCCCCUCAGUAUCAACUUUCCUUCUAACGUGUUACAAGGAUGAUGGUAUCGAGGAAGUGAAAUUGGCGAUUCUAUCAGCAAUAGGGUCCUGGGCUUUGGUAUCAGCUGAAGCUGUCCAACCAGAUGUUGUUUCAUUUAUUGCUGCAGGCUUGAAAGAGAAAGACACUUUAAGGAAGGGGCAUCUGAAAUUUUUACGAGUUAUAUGCAAAAACUCUGAGUCUUUAACAAAGGUUGCUUCUUUAUUGGAUCAUUUGAUUCAGUUGUCAAAAACUGGCUUCAGCAAGGCAACACAGCGGUUGGAUGGAAUCUAUGCACUCUUUGCAGUAUCAAGGCUUGCUGCUGUUGAUACAAAAGCAGAUGGUGCCAUUCUGAAGGAGAAACUGUGGACAUUGAUUGCUCAAAAUGAACCCUCAUUGAUCUCUUUACAGUUGCUUCCCAAACUAGCAGAUGAUGAUUGCUUAGCCGUCCUGGAUCUUGUUCAAUCACUGUUUGUAGAACAGUUCUUCAGGGUUCGAGAAUAUUUUUCAAUCCAUUCAUUGCUGCAGCUGCUAAUAUAUCUACUUUGCCAUCCAAGCUGGGAAGUUAGAAAGGUAGCUUACGAUGUUACCAAGAAAAUUUUCUCAAGCUCCAGUGGUCUAGCCGAAGAUAUUCUAUUUUUAUUCACAGACUGGUUGUCACUGGUUGGAGAGAGACUGUCAAUAUUGAAACAAGGUGAUAUGGAUAGCCCUUCGGAUUCUCAGCUACCAUUCUUUCCAUCUACCGAGGUCCUUGUCAAGUGUUUGUUUUUGAUUGCACCUUAUGCUGUUGUGCAUAGUCUGAGAUCAUAUUCUCGAAUUAUUUUGUGCUCCCACCACCCUUGCCUUACCAGCUCCUCAAGCCCAGCUGGCGUAUAUAAGAGGUUGCAAAGAAGGCUUAGACAAGAACAGAUCUUUUUUGUUGACUUAAUUACUCCCAACAUCUCUGUUAUCUGCAAGGAAUUACUUUCACAGGAUGGUCUAUUUAGUUCCAACAAUCAAGUACAGAGUGCAGCAUUAUGUUCGCUAUCAACACUUAUGACAAUUACUCCCAACGACACAUUUCUAGAGUUUGAGAAGCACUUCAUAGGACUCCAGGAGCGCACCUUGCACGAUUCCUUCUCUGAGAGUGAUAUUAAGAUAUUCUAUACUCCAGAGGGGCAGUUGUCAACCGAGCAAGGAGUUUACAUUGCUGAGGCUGUUGCUAACAAAAAUACAAAACUUGCAAAGGGGCGUUUCCGUGCAUAUGAUGAUCAAGAUGCAGAGACAGCUCGGUCUAUUGUCCCUGCAAAGAAUGAGAAGAAAGAAUCCUCAGGCAUUGGCAAGCGAGAAACUGGGAAAUCUACAAAAAGGACUGCUCCUAUAGACAAGGCUAAGACUGCUAAAGAGGAGGCCAGAGAGUUGCUCUUGAAGGAGGAAGCAUCUGUGCGUAUGAAGGUUGGGCAAGUGCAGAAGGAUCUCUCCUUAAUGUUGGAUGCUCUUGGCAAGUUGGCUAUUGCUAAUCCUAUAUUUACUCAUGGUCAACUGCCGUCACUGGUAAACUAUGUUGAACCUUUGCUAAGUUCUCCAAUAGUAAGCGAUGCUGCAUUUUGUACAAUGUUGAGGCUAGCACGUUGCACAGCCCCUCCUCUUUGCAAUUGGGCGCUCGACAUUGCUGCUGCGAUUCGUGUGAUAUCUGUUGGUGAUUUUGAAAUGGUUUUGGAUCUUACACCUGUGAUCAUGGAAGAUGAUAGUAAGAAGCCAUCAUCUGGCAUCUUUGAACAAAUAGUAAAUGGGCUGACUAUUGCGUGCAAAGCGGGUCCUCUUCCAGCAGAUUCAUUUACUUUCGUCUUUCCGAUCAUGGAAAGGAUCCUUCUAUCUUCAAAAAAGACAUGUCUUCAUGAUGAUGUGCUUCACAUACUAUCUAUGCAUAUGGAUCCAAUACUACCACUUCCUCGACCUAGGAUGUUAUCAGUUCUUUAUCAUGUGCUAAGCACUGUUCCUGCCUAUCAACCUUCAGUUGGGCCUAUGCUGAAUGAGCUAUGCCUAGGUCUAAGAGGCCAUGAGUUAGCACAGGCUCUUGUCGGUGUAUAUGCAAAAGAACUGCAUGUUAGGCUUGCCUGCUUAACUGCUAUAAAAUGUGUUCCUGUGCACUCUGUGCAACGAGAUUUGCAGGUGUCAACAAGCCUCUGGAUUGCUGCUCAUGAUCCGGAGAAGGUGGUUGCUGAAUUAGCAGAGGAAUUAUGGGACCGCUUUGGUUUUGAUGCCAUCACUGAUUACUCUGGUAUUUUCAAUGCACUUUCCCAUAAAAAUUACAAUGUUCGUGCUGCAUCUGCUGAGGCUCUGGCUGCGGCAUUGGAUGAAAAUCAAGACAAAAUGCAAGAUGCACUUUCUACCCUUUUCUCUCUGUACAUUCGUGAUAUUGGCACUAGUGUUGAAUUUGGAGAUGCACACUGGCUCGGAAGGCAGGGUAUUGCAUUAGCACUCCACUCUAUCGCUGACGUUUUGGCCUCUAAAGAUCUUCCUGUUGUCAUGACAUUUCUCAUCUCACGCGCCCUGGCUGAUCCAAACGUCGAUGUUCGUGGUAGAAUGAUUAAUGCUGGCAUCCUUAUUAUUGACAGGCAUGGAAAGGAAAAUGUUCCUUUGCUAUUUCCUAUUUUUGAGAGCUACUUGAAUAAAAGGGCAUCAGAUGAGAAAACAUAUGAUCUUGUGAGGGAAGGUGUUGUUAUUUUUACUGGUGCUCUGGCGAAACAUCUAUCAAAGGAUGAUCCCAAAGUUCACAGUGUCAUUGAAAAGUUGUUAGAUGUCCUUAACACCCCAUCAGAGGCAGUUCAACGUGCUGUCUCAGAUUGUUUGUCCCCACUUAUGGUAUCCAAACAGGAAGAGGGUCAGGCUCUUGUUUCUAGACUCUUGGAUCGGAUGAUGAAAUGUGAAAAGUAUGGUGAGCGACGAGGUGCAGCCUUUGGCCUUGCUGGUGUGGUUAAAGGAUUUGGAAUUUCUUCCUUGAAAAAAUAUGGCAUCGCUGUGACAUUGCAGAAAAAUUUGGAAGACAGAAUGUCUGCAAAAUCUCGUGAAGGAGCUUUACUUGGAUUUGAGUGCCUGUGUGAGAAGCUUGGCAAACUAUUUGAGCCGUAUGUCAUUCAAAUGCUUCCGUUCCUACUUGUGUGUUUCUCUGAUCAAGUCCUAGCAGUGCGCGAAGCUGCUGAGUGUGCUGCUCGGGCAAUGAUGUCUCAGCUCACUGGUCCUGGUGUGAAGCUUGUUCUUCCGUCACUUCUUAAGGGUCUAGAAGAUAAAGCAUGGCGUACUAAGCAAAGCAGCGUUCAACUUCUUGGUGCCAUGGCAUAUUGUGCUCCUCAGCAGCUAUCUCAGUGUCUUCCAAAGAUUGUUCCAAAGUUAACAGAGGUACUAACAGACACACAUCCUAAAGUCCAAGCAGCUGGACAGACAGCUCUCCAGGAGGUUGGAAGUGUCAUAAAGAAUCCUGAAAUAUCUGCAUUAGUCCCUAUUCUUCUGUCAGCUCUGAUGGAUCCAAAUGCCCACACUAAACACUCUCUUGACAUCCUCCUUCAGACUACUUUUAUUAACUCCAUAGACGCACCAUCGCUUGCUCUGCUUGUGCCUAUUGUGCAUAGAGGACUGAGGGAGAGGGGUGUUGAAACUAAGAAGAAAGCUGCUCAAAUAGUUGGGAACAUGUCUUCUUUAGUUACAGAACCAAAGGAUAUGAUCCCAUACAUUGGUUUGCUCCUACCAGAAGUUAAGAAGGUUCUUGUGGAUCCUAUACCUGAAGUCAGAGCAGUAGCUGCUCGAGCACUGGGGUCUCUUAUAAGUGGAAUGGGUGAAGAAAUCUUCCCAGAUCUUGUGCCAUGGUUAUUAGAUACUCUGAAAUCAGAUAAUAGUAAUGUCGAACGAUCUGGUGCUGCGCAGGGAUUGAGUGAGGUUUUAGCUGCUCUUAGCCAAGAUUAUUUUGACCAUAUUCUUCCUGACAUCAUCCGAAACUGUUCCCACCAAAAGGCUUCCGUUCGUGAUGGACAUCUUACACUUUUACGGUAUUUGCCAAGAUCUCUUGGCGGUGUUUUCCAGAACUAUCUGCAGGCUGUUCUUCCUGCUAUAUUAGAUGGGCUUGCUGAUGAGAACGAAUCUGUUCGUGAUGCUGCACUUUCUGCUGGUCAUGUCUUUGUGGAGCAUUAUGCAACUACGUCCUUGCCUCUGUUGCUUCCUGCUAUCGAGGAUGGGAUCUUCAGUGAUAAUUGGCGUAUCCGACAAAGUUCUGUUGAACUUCUUGGGGAUCUCUUAUUUAAGGUCGCUGGAACUUCUGGGAAGGCAAUCCUUGAGGGUGGAAGUGAUGAUGAAGGUGCUAGUACAGAGGCUCAGGGGCGUGCUAUUAUUGAAGUACUUGGAAGGGAGAAACGCAACGAAGUUCUUGCUGCCAUUUAUAUGGUUCGUUCUGAUGUCAGCUUGACUGUCCGACAGGCUGCAUUACAUGUCUGGAAGACAAUUGUAGCAAAUACUCCAAGAACUCUGAAAGAGAUAAUGCCAGUACUUAUGGACACACUUAUUGCAUCUCUUGCAUCAUCUUCCUCAGAAAGGCGUCAGGUUGCUGGAAGAUCACUUGGUGAGCUUGUAAGGAAGCUUGGUGAAAGAGUUUUGCCCUCGAUUAUUCCAAUCCUGUCACAAGGACUCAAAGACCCAAGUGCUAGCAGAAGACAAGGAGUUUGCAUUGGUUUGAGUGAGGUCAUGGGCAGUGCAGGAAAACACCAGCUAUUAAGUUUUAUGGAUGAACUUAUUCCUACCAUUCGUACUGCUCUAUGUGACAGCACCCAAGAGGUCCGUGAAUCUGCUGGGUUAGCGUUUAGUACUCUGUACAAGAGUGCUGGACUGCAAGCCAUUGAUGAGAUUGUCCCCACAUUGCUACGAGCUUUGGAAGAUGAUGAUACAUCUGCAACAGCUCUUGACGGUCUAAAGCAGAUUUUAAGUGUCAGAACAGCAGCUGUUUUGCCCCAUAUAUUGCCCAAAUUAGUCCAGCCUCCCCUCUCUUCAUUCAAUGCACAUGCAUUAGGUGCUCUAGCAGAGGUUGCUGGGCCAGGUUUGAAUUCACAUAUCGGAACUGUUCUCCCAGCAUUGAUUCUUGCUAUGGAUGAUGAAGAUGCGGAUGUACAAAACUCAGCCAGGAAAGCUGCUGAAACUGUUCUGUUGGUUAUUGAUGAGGAAGGAGUGGAAACUUUGAUACCUGAGCUUCUAAGAGGGAUCAAUGACAGUCAGGCAUCAAUGAGGCGGGGUUCAGCCUAUCUAAUUGGUUUCCUCUUUAAAAACACUAAAUUAUAUUUGGCUGAUGAGGCUUCUGAUAUGAUGUCAACCCUAAUAAUUUUGUUGAGUGAUACAGACAAGGCUACUGUAUCGGCUGCUUUAGAAGCAUUUUCAAGAGUUGUUGCAUCUGUUCCAAAGGAACAGCUCCCGACGCAUAUAAAACUAGUGCGCGAUGCUGUCUCUACAGCCAGAGAUAAAGAGCGUAGAAGGCGAAAGGGUGUGCCUAUUCUUGUGCCUGGCUUAUGUCUUCCUAAAGCACUGCAGCCUUUUCUUCCUAUAUAUCAGCAGGGUUUAAUUAGUGGGUCGGCCGAGACAAAAGAACAGGCAGCUGAAGGUCUAGGAGAGUUAAUUGACGUAACAAGUGAGAAGACUCUUAAGGAAGUUGUAGUGCCAAUUACAGGACCUCUUAUUCGCAUCCUUGGUGAUCGGUUUCCAUGGCAAGUUAAGUCAGCUAUCCUAUCAACCCUGACAAUCAUCAUCAUGAAAGGUGGAAUUGCACUUAAGCCCUUCCUUCCACAACUUCAAACUACAUUUGUAAAAUGUCUACAGGAUAAUAAUAGGUCUGUCCGGGCGAGGGCUGCAGCUGCUCUGGGAAAGCUUAGUGCUCUCAGCACACGGGUGGAUCCUUUAGUUAGCGAUCUUCUGUCCAUGUUGCAGUCAGGAGAUGAAUCUGUCAAAGAAAGUGUGCUUUCUGCGCUUAAAGGUGUUAUCAAACAUGCUGGUAAAAGUGUCAGCUCUGCAAUAAGGUCACGUGGAUGUGCUCUUCUUGAAGAUCUGCUGCAGGCUGAAGCUGAUGAUGUCCGCAGUUGUGCUGCAAAAGUGAUUGGCACAUUGUCUCAGUACAUGGAGGAGACAGAGAUUUCAGAUUUGGUGCAAAUCCUAUUGAACAUGAGCACUUCAUCAGACUGGUGUACCAGACAUGGUGCUUUGUUAUCGUUCUCAUACAUAUCAAUGCAUUCUCCAUCAAAAUUGUGUCAUUUGGCAUCCUUUCCAUCUCUGGUCGAUCUUUUGAAAGGUUCUCUCAAAGACGACAAGUUCCCUGUUCGUGAAGUUGCUACAAGAACUCUGGGAAAGAUACUCUGUUUUGAGCUACAGCCAGAAGCUGGCACCUUGCAACUUGUUCAGCUGCUUAUCUUGGCCUUGCGUGAUGAUUCAAGUGAAGUUAGGAGAAGAUCUUUGUCGUGUAUCAAAGCUGCUGCAAAGACAAAUCAUUCAGCUCUUGCUACACAUCACUCUAUAUUGGGCCCGGCAAUUGCUGAAGCUUUGAAGGACUCUAGCAUGCCUGUACGUCUAGCUGCGGAACGCUGCGCCCUUCAUGUUUUCCAGUUAACGAAAGGGCCAGAUAAUGUUACAGCAGCACAAAAGUACCUCGGGAUGACUGGCUUGGAAGUGAAGAAAAUCGCAAAGCUUGACGUGGACAGUGAUGGUAGUGAGAGCAGCGAUGAUGACAAGAGGACAUAGACUCUACUCAACAGCAAUCUUUUUUCGGUUCAGUUGUUAUGAUCUUUACAUAUAGUUAGCUACAUUGAUAGCGGAAUGUGGGGUCAUUUUUUCUGUCUGGCCCAUUUUGUGUACAUCCUUUUUGACAACAAACAGGUAAAAGUGACAACGUUUGCAAAUCGACAAACAAUGGACACAAGUUGUAUUGCAACCAAGGACUGAUUCGUUAGUUUGAGCACAGCACAACCACCCAGUUCAACGAUAACGCAUGUCAAUGUAAGCCACGCAUACCAUAUAGUAUCAUAUCGUCGAGUAUUGUUCGUACCACAUCUUCCUCCCAGUUGAUCUCCUUGGGCAAGGUAGGCCCUUCCCUGGACAGCUCGUUGGGCAUCUUGUUGAGCAUGCUCUCUGCUCUGUACCUGAACGCUGGAGUCCACGAACAGACUGCUCUGAGCGGCGUCAAUGUGGAUAGGAAUGUAAUCGGACGUAUAUUACUGGUUCCAUGUUUGUUUUCAUAUUUUCUCAUUGGAUAUUAAUGCAAAUAUUAUCGAGUUGGGCAUCGGAUAUUAAUGCAAAUAUUAUCGAGUUGGGAUUUG
Molecule: RNA transcript, 8573 nt
Organism: Zea mays
Lineage: Eukaryota; Viridiplantae; Streptophyta; Magnoliopsida; Poales; Poaceae
Gene name: protein ILITYHIA
Exons: 61
Source: RefSeq, a predicted model, not a curated record